This 291-nucleotide unclassified non-coding RNA is filed under the name Hevea brasiliensis (rubber tree). The record is from RNAcentral. Lineage: Eukaryota; Viridiplantae; Streptophyta; Magnoliopsida; Malpighiales; Euphorbiaceae.
GAGGCAUAUAUCGGCCCGUUUGUGAUGUUGUUGAUACAGUCAAAUCUGUCUUCGUGCUCACAGAAGUAAUUUUCUUCUUAUCAGUGAUGGCAAUCAUACUGUGUGAUUUAUUAGCAAGGCCAUAAUGAAUAAAAUUCCUCAAAGCCACAACAAGACCUGCCACAUGGCCAGACAACGGUCCCUUGGAAUCUGUAAGAACCAAGUGCAGACAAUGUAGAAGUGAGGUAUAAAACCGGGCAGUGGCUCCGUCUUCCUUAACAAGCCCCUUAGAUGCCACCGUUUCCAAAAUGU